AAUAAAAUGCCUGAAAAAAAGGAUUACUUUGAUAGAGUAAAUCAUGUAUUUUAUAUACUUUUAUUA
RNAcentral lists this transfer RNA (66 nucleotides) under Chaetosiphella stipae. RNAcentral's name for it is "tRNA-Ile". The record is from RNAcentral. RNAcentral also lists the same sequence under 1 other name. Lineage: Eukaryota; Metazoa; Arthropoda; Insecta; Hemiptera; Aphididae.